Molecule: ribosomal RNA, 253 nt
Filed under: uncultured bacterium
Lineage: Bacteria
Description: partial 16S ribosomal RNA
Rfam family: Bacterial small subunit ribosomal RNA
Source: RNAcentral
UACGGAGGGUGCAAGCGUUAUCCGGAUUCACUGGGUUUAAAGGGUGCGUAGGUGGGCAGGUAAGUCAGUGGUGAAAUCUCCGAGCUUAACUCGGAAACUGCCGUUGAUACUAUUUGUCUUGAAUAUUGUGGAGGUAAGCGGAAUAUGUCAUGUAGCGGUGAAAUGCUUAGAUAUGACAUAGAACACCUAUUGCGAAGGCAGCUUACUACGCAUAUAUUGACGCUGAGGCACGAAAGCGUGGGGAUCAAACAGG